CACUGCCGAGAAAAGCCUCUAGAUAGAAAAUAGGUGCCCGUACCGCAAACCGACACAGGUAGUCAAGAUGAGAAUUCUAAGGUGAGCGAGCGAACUCUCGUUAAGGAACUCGGCAAAAUGACCCCGUAACUUCGGGAGAAGGGGUGCUCUUUAGGGUUAACGCCCAGAAGAGCCGCAGUGAAUAGGCCCAAGCGACUGUUUAUCAAAAACACAGGUCUCUGCUAAACCGUAAGGUGAUGUAUAGGGGCUGACGCCUGCCCGGUGCUGGAAGGUUAAGAGGAGUGGUUAGCUUCUGCGAAGCUACGAAUCGAAGCCCCAGUAAACGGCGGCCGUAACUAUAACGGUCCUAAGGUAGCGAAAUUCCUUGUCGGGUAAGUUCCGACCCGCACGAAAGGCGUAACGAUUUGGGCACUGUCUCAACGAGAGACUCGGUGAAAUCAUAGUACCUGUGAAGAUGCAGGUUACCCGCGACAGGACGGAAAGACCCCGUGGAGCUUUACUGUAGCCUGAUAUUGAAAUUCGGCACAGCUUGUACAGGAUAGGUAGGAGCCUUUGAAACGUGAGCGCUAGCUUACGUGGAGGCGCUGGUGGGAUACUACCCUAGCUGUGUUGGCUUUCUAACCCGCACCACUUAUCGUGGUGGGAGACAGUGUCAGG
This 657-nucleotide ribosomal RNA is filed under the name Staphylococcus aureus. Its description in RNAcentral is "partial 23S ribosomal RNA". It matches the Rfam family "Bacterial large subunit ribosomal RNA", at positions 1603 to 2261 of the family's 2925-position model. Lineage: Bacteria; Bacillati; Bacillota; Bacilli; Caryophanales; Staphylococcaceae. The record is from RNAcentral.